Salmo salar (Atlantic salmon) is the source of this 660-nucleotide non-coding RNA. NCBI's taxonomy places the organism in Eukaryota, Metazoa, Chordata, Actinopteri, Salmoniformes, Salmonidae. The record is from RefSeq and is a predicted model, not a curated record.
AUUGCUUUUGAGUUACGAUAACCUUUUCAGAGCCAUUACAGAGAAGGAGAUGCAGCUAAGAACCAGGCAAAACUGUUAGAUGAGAUCCUUCAAAGGGGUAGUCACUGAGUGAAGCCAAGGAUGAAUGGUCCGAACGUACGUGAUCCCCCUCCUUCCAGCAUACUGCCUUACUUUGAGAGACCCAACAACCAUCAAGAUGGAUUGGCGAUUAUCAUAACGACAGUAUUAAUACACAUUAUAAUUAAGCAACAUCAUUUUUAUAAAAUUAUUUAAAAAAAAUAAUAAUUGUAGUGAAAAAUGGGUGUCAUUAGAAAUGAAACAAACGAUGUAUGUAAUGAUGUCAUAACGUCCCAACGUUUAAUUAAUAUCUUUCAUUAUCAUAUUACUGUUGUUAUGAUCAAAACCUGUUUGAUUUUUACUAAAGCACUCUGGCUAUGUGUUUUACUGCUCUAAACCAAUCGUAUCGAACUACUGAAAGUUCCACUGAAUGUCAGUCUGCUUGACCAGAAGCUUUCUGAGGGUCUGCAACAAAAAAUAUAGAAAACCGGUUAGGUUGUGAGAUUACAUUGCAAUGAAUGCUGUUGUUCUAUGUUAUCUAUGCAUACGGGCUAUGUAUUGUAUUGAAGCCUUCCAUAAACAAACUGUAUCGUUGGCUCCACU